UUGAUUAUUAAGAAUGGUAGCCUCUUUGAUUUUGUAUAUUUUUCUAUUCUAAACUGUCUAAAUUAAUUUUAUACAUUGACUGAUAAUGUUUGCAAUAACGACUGUCCAGCUAUCACCACGUUGCUCACCACGUUGCUGCUACGCCAUGAUAUCUGGAAUAAAAAAGAUAGAUUCUAGCUAUUGAAUCAAAAAGAGGUUUAGGACUGUGUAGACUUCAUGGUGCUGGAUUUAGAGGAAACUCGACUCUCACCACUCUCUCUAAAUGCAAAAAAAGUUUGAAGUGAAGCGGAAACUUAUCUCGAGCAAACUAUUUUUUAACUGCAGCAAAAAAAAGUUUGAAGUGAAGCGAAAACUGAUACGACUAUUCCUUUUUUUCUACGUCGUAUAGCCCUUGAACUUGAAACCUGAAGAGAAGAGACGAAAUCCAGAUGAAACGACACCUUCAUAGAAGACAAAUCUUGUUUUAGCAGAAUACAUAGAGGAAUAACAACUUCAUUCAUCUUCAAUCAUAAGGUAACUUGUUUAGGUCAUCGAAGCUUAUUUCACUAGAAUACGAAGUGGAAGAAGAACUCUAUUCAUAUCCAAUCAUAAGAGAAGAGACGAAACCCUUGAACUUGAAACCUGAAGAGAAGAGACGAAAUCCAGGUGAAACGAAACCUUAAUAGAAGAUGAAGCUUGUUUAGAUCAUCGGAUCUUGUUUUAGCAGAAUACACAGAGAAAUAACAACUUAAUUCAUCUUC
This is a long non-coding RNA of Lathyrus oleraceus (garden pea), 740 nucleotides long. RefSeq lists it as uncharacterized. Lineage: Eukaryota; Viridiplantae; Streptophyta; Magnoliopsida; Fabales; Fabaceae. The record is from RefSeq and is a predicted model, not a curated record. The transcript has 5 exons.